UCCUUAAGUUCUUCUUGAAGUGCAAUCAAAAUUGUCUCAAAAAUGCUGGAAAUCCCAGAGAUAUGCGAAGAUUUCAGGUUGUUAUCUCCACCCAGGUGGCCGUGGAUGGACCUUUGUUGGCUAUAUCGGACAAUAUGUUUGUGCACAACAAUUCGAAGCAUGGAAGGCGCGCCAAGCGACUGGAUACAACGGAAGGUCUCUAUCCACCGCUGCCCGUAGCGACGCCCUGCAUCAAAGCCAUAUCGCCCAGCGAGGGCUGGACUACUGGUGGCGCCACUGUCAUCAUUGUGGGCGACAAUUUCUUUGAUGGCCUCCAAGUUGUGUUUGGCACGAUGUUGGUCUGGAGCGAGCUCAUCACAUCGCAUGCGAUACGCGUGCAAACGCCGCCGCGACAUAUUCCGGGCGUAGUGGAGGUAACGCUCUCCUACAAGAGCAAACAGUUCUGCAAGGGCUCACCCGGACGCUUUGUCUAUGUCUCAGCACUCAACGAACCCACUAUCGACUACGGCUUCCAGCGACUGCAGAAGCUGAUACCGCGACACCCCGGCGAUCCCGAGAAGCUGCAAAAGGAGAUUAUACUCAAGCGUGCAGCAGAUCUGGUCGAGGCACUCUACUCCAUGCCCAGCAGAUCACCAGGUGGCUCCACUAGCUUCAACUCGUAUGCGGGCCAGCUGGCGGUGAGCGUGCAGGACGGCAGCGGUCAGUGGACCGAGGAUGAUUACCAGCGUGCGCAGUCCAGCAGCGUCAGUCCACGUGGCGGCUACUGCAGCAGUGCAUCCACGCCACAUAGCUCGGGUGGCUCGUAUGGCGCCACCGCCAGCACUGCCGUGGCAGCCACAGCGAAUGGCUAUGCGCCCGCUCCCAAUAUGGGCACGCUCUCCUCUUCACCCGGCAGCGUCUUCAAUUCCACGUCAAUGUCCGUGUCGUCGCCUUGGCAUUCGGCGCUAGUGCAGCAUCAUCAUGUGGCAGCCGCCGCCACCCAUCCGCAUCACUAUCCCCAUCCGCAUCAGCCCUGGCACAAUCCGGCCGUAUCGGCAGCAACAGCAGCGGCCGUUUAAGCAAAGGACGCCCCAAUCAAGAGCAAUGGAUAUUGGAGCUCACACACAGACAGACACACUUACACACCACACACACAUACACAUACACACAUGCACAGCAUAGGCUUAUCGAACGCAACGCCCCACAAAAAAAAAGUGCGUUGUUGCGAAGCAACAACAACAGCAACAUGAAGAGCGUGAACAACAGCAAUCGGCGAUUGGCAAUGGCAAAUGGCGUUGAUAGACCCUGUACGUGUGAGUCCAACUGUGUGCUAGUGGUAGUGGGUAGUGUGUGGCUGCUGAUUGAGCUGCGCGUCGCGACUGUCAUUAAACACAUCCACAACAAGUACAACAACAACAACAACAACACAACAACAACAUCACCAACAACACACGUUCAAUGGAGUCAGCAGCUUGAGCUUCAAUCCAUUCGCCCUGCCCACCUGCAAUACACAGGGAUAUAGCACCAGUCAACUGGUGACAUCAACC
RNA transcript from Drosophila busckii, 1526 nucleotides. It is a transcript of the gene named transcription factor collier, with no coding region annotated. The transcript is spliced from 7 exons. The record is from RefSeq and is a predicted model, not a curated record. NCBI's taxonomy places the organism in Eukaryota, Metazoa, Arthropoda, Insecta, Diptera, Drosophilidae.